This 66-nucleotide transfer RNA is filed under the name Cicadellidae gen. sp. 1 JCX-2018. Its description in RNAcentral is "tRNA-Glu". The record is from RNAcentral. Lineage: Eukaryota; Metazoa; Arthropoda; Insecta; Hemiptera; Cicadellidae.
AUUAAUGUAGUUUAACAAUAAAACAAUAUAUUUUCAUUAUAUAAAAGUCAUUUAAGACCAUAAAUA